RNAcentral lists this long non-coding RNA (538 nucleotides) under Homo sapiens (human). Its description in RNAcentral is "HSALNT0080456". Lineage: Eukaryota; Metazoa; Chordata; Mammalia; Primates; Hominidae. The record is from RNAcentral.
GAUGCUGCUCCUAUGUAGGUCGGCGAGGAAAUGGACCUCAGGCAAUCUCUAUCGGCAAGAACUGUGAUAAAUUUGGGAUUGUUGUUCAUGAAUUGGGUCAUGUGAUAGGCUUUUGGCAUGAACACACAAGACCAGAUCGAGAUAACCACGUAACUAUCAUAAGAGAAAACAUCCAGCCAGGUCAAGAGUACAAUUUUCUGAAGAUGGAGCCUGGAGAAGUAAACUCACUUGGAGAAAGAUAUGAUUUCGACAGUAUCAUGCACUAUGCCAGGAACACCUUCUCAAGGUUGGAGUCUCAGGGGGAUGUUUCUGGAUACCAUUCUCCCCUCCCGUGAUGAUAAUGGCAUACGUCCUGCAAUUGGUCAGCGAACCCGUCUAAGCAAAGGAGAUAUCGCACAGGCAAGAAAGCUGUAUAGAUGUCCAGCAUGUGGAGAAACUCUACAAGAAUCCAAUGGCAACCUUUCCUCUCCAGGAUUUCCCAAUGGCUACCCUUCUUACACACACUGCAUCUGGAGAGUUUCUGUGACCCCAGGGGAGA